UGGCGUCCGGCAAUCUCUCCAGCGGACACGCGGCGUGGGGGCCUGUAAAUAGCCUCGGUUUGGGGUGGAACCUAAGGCGGGCAUUAGGGAUACACAGGUAGCCCAUUGGUCCUAGGUUUGGCACCAUAUGUAAAUUCCCAGGGGCGGGAAGAUGGCGUCACAGGUAACUUCCUAGGGGCAGGGCAAGAUGGGGCUUCCUGCUUCCAGUUGUGGCUUUCCUGGCUACAGUGUCCUGUCUGGGCCAAACCUUUCAUUCUUGUCAUUUCCAAUAAAACUCUCCUGCUUCUUCCUUUAGUUCCUGGCUUUGUUCCUUGAUUUUGUGAGGCUCCAAACUUCGUACUUCUGAUGUCUUAACAGGUCAGAGUUGUGUUUCCUCUAAAUCGUCAGCACAGCCCAAAGCAAGGGCCAAGAAACCAUGGACUGAAACCUGUGAAGAGGUGAGCCGAUGUAAACCCUUCCUCCUUUAAGACGACUGCAUCAGCUAUUUUGUCACAGGAACAGAAAGCUGAGUAGCACACACAUUGGGAAGGAAAUUGUCCGAAAACAUUAUCCAAGACCAGUUCCUUCUUACUGAGGAAUUAUAGGGUCCAAACUUGCAGACGGGCUGUCACCACAUGGCUCAGACUGGUCUUGAACUCACUAUGCACCUCAGGCUGGUGUUGAACUCCCAAGAGUGUGCCUGCCUCAGCCUCCUGAGUGCUGGAAUCAGGGGAAGAUGAAAAAAGUGGACAGUAAGAAUGCAUUGAUCUCAGCGGGGCAUGGUAAUCCACUCCUGCAAUCCCAGCACUGCAGGGAGGCUGAGGCAGGAGGAUCAAGACUUGGUGGGCAGCUUGGGUCACAUAAUGAGACCUUGUCUUUAAAAAUAAAUUAACAAAAACAAAACCAAGCAAGAAACAAAAAGCAACUCGAUCUGUUUCUCCUUUCCAGUGUUUAUUCAGGCCCUUUGCUUUUAUAUUUUCUUGUUUUGUUUAUGACUGGCUGGGAAAUGGAGUACUGACCAUCAUUAUAGGUGGGAGAGCUGUCUCAUUCUUGAUGUAGAUUCUUCAGUGAAUAUCAUACUGGUUGUUUAUUUGAAAUAAAUAAACUUUAGCAUAAGCAAGUACCUUUUUAUUCCCAGUUUCCAAGAAUUCUGUUACCAAUAAAUACUGAUUUG
Molecule: long non-coding RNA, 1153 nt
Organism: Cavia porcellus (domestic guinea pig)
Lineage: Eukaryota; Metazoa; Chordata; Mammalia; Rodentia; Caviidae
Exons: 3
Source: RefSeq, a predicted model, not a curated record